RNAcentral lists this small RNA (4988 nucleotides) under Rattus norvegicus (Norway rat). RNAcentral's name for it is "uncharacterized LOC102554129". The record is from RNAcentral. Lineage: Eukaryota; Metazoa; Chordata; Mammalia; Rodentia; Muridae.
AAAGAGAGAGAGAGAGACAGGUAAAGGAACAGGUGUAGCAGCAGAAUCGUUUCUUCAGGACACUGACAUAGAGCCGUCAUGCGCAUGCACAUGCAAUUCAGGCCAGUAAGAGUGGUCACGCUCGGCAGUGAUUCUAAGACUCUCCUUUCUGAGUCAUCCAGGUAACAGAGUUUUCAGUGGAAAUCGUGUAUUUUUUUUCGUUAUGCAAAUCUUUGUGAAAACCAAAGGGAUUUCCUCCAAUACUAACACAGAUAUAGAACAACUUAGAGGCCACUGUGAAACACACUGCACAGAUCUGUGACGGUUGAGUCCACUGGUUGUAGAGAGUUAACUGUACUUAGGUGUACCCACUCCAGGAUCUAAUAAGAUGUAUUAAGUCUCAACAUUGGUUUUCAGUCUUUCCCUGUCUCUGCCAGGGCGUUAUCAAUAACUUCUCAGUGCCUUCAGUGGUGGCUUUCCCCAAUCAUUUUUCAUUUUGCUUCGAAUGCAGACCAUCAAAAUUCAAGGCGCUUAGAGUGUUUUUUUGCAGCGGUUAUGAGCAGGCUUGAUGGAUGUGAGCUUCUUGCUAAGCUGUGUGAAUGAGAACUCCUGUUUGGAGCCACCCACGUGAUUCAGUGUUAUUGGGCUUGGGAAGCUCAAUGUUACCAAGUCACAUUAUUUAUUCCUUGAAAUACGUGUAUGUCACAAAUAUGUUAAUGAGCUUCCUCUGUGUGUGCUCUAUAUACAGCUACCCUGGGGAUGGGUUUUUAGAACUCUCUAAUUCAACACAUAACCUAAAUGGAAAUAUUUUUGACCAAUAUUUCCAGCUGAAUUUUUUUUCAGAAGACCCUUUAUAGAAUUGUAGUCAUUUUUCUGACCUAGAAGCACUAAGCUGGUCAGAUUGGAUACCCAUUUUCUGGGACAAUGUAUGACCAUUGGAAAAGUUGAACAAAACAAUCAUGGAGUGUCUCAAAGCCAUACCCUGUUUCCUGGUGGUUAGAGUUGAUAAUAUCAUUGUGAAGGCCUAAGUUUGUUUCUCAGUUAAGUAACCCAAACAAAAAUCACAAGCUACAUGAUAAAAUUCAAAGCCAAGAGAAAAAUUGAAGCAGAAAGCUAUUGCUGAUUUAAUGGUAAGACUACUGACCACUCUAACAUGAAGUCACAGAGAGUCCUAUACCUGAAAGCUAAGAAACAACAGUGGGUUCCAAUUGAAUGUCCUAUACUAGUUUUACUAUUUAGCAGUGACUAGAUCUGUGCACUGUUCACUAAGCGCUACUAUGUGAGACGCAUUGUGCCAGGUGGCUUUAAGAAGCCUAGAGGCUAUGCUUGAGUGGCAGGAAGUGGUUUUUACUAUGGCACUACAUUUUCAAUAUGGGACAAUGGGAUGAAAUUCUAGAAUUCAUCGCCUGGGAGUCCACCCCAACAAGCUUGGAAAAAAAAAAAAAGGGAUGCUGUGGUUACAGUAAGGGCAACGGUGAUUUCAAGAACUACAUAGCAACACUUGCUUGCAAAUGGUAGGGAAAUGCAGAGCUCUGCUGCCUGAAAGGGACUGGAAAUGUAAAGGAAUUGAGUGAGUGCCAGAGGGAAAGUUCAGUGGUGUGAAUGGAGAAGGGAACAGAAACUGAAUACUUGGAUGGACGAGCAGAUUCUCAUUGAUCUCUUCAACCAUGAGCCAGGGUGGCUGGUGAGUGACGAGUGGUAGUGGGAGAGGCAGAGGGGAGAACUAUGGAGACAUUUUUACUAGCUGUCAGGCCUGGUAUACGGUUUUUGUUUACCAUACCUCAGAAUUUAGCAUGCUCUUGGCUCAUAGUAAGUUUGGCUCCCCCCAGCCCCCAAUGAAUAAAAUUAGUUAAACCUCUUCACUUUUGUUGAACUUGCCAAGGAUGUCCCUAGGGCCGUACACAGAAAACACCAUUGCGUAGCCCGUGUGGUGGGUGGAUGACAGAGGGAGAAAGGGAAGGAUAAGACACCAUUGUGUUCUUUCAGAAUGACUAGGGUAUCUUUGGGAUAUGUUCACUUUCCAAUGAAAGGAGUCCAUAUAUGUAUAGUAUGUGCAGUUCAAAAAGUCCCAAGAGCCUUGACCCACUUACUCUUUUGGAAGAGGUGAACAUUAUUUCUAAAACAAUAAGAAAAGUAAACCAUAUUGUAAAAAAACAGUGCUUGAAAGAAAAAAAAAACAAGACAGAUCCUAAGCUAUUGAGUGAUUUUUUUUUUUUUAAUAACCCAAGCUAAGAUGUUUGCCAACUUCAACACUAAGAAGGUAUUUAAGGAGUUCUGCUCAAAUUUAUUUCGUUGGUCCAGUCCCUAACCAUUCCGAUUGCCAAAGACAUUCACCUCACAAGACAGUUUGUUUGGGGGCAAACUUACUUGUUUUGUACCAAAUUUUCCUCAGUUGCUUUGUUAAGCGAUGGGCUUCAUUAAGUAAUCCAUUACAUUGAAAUGAAGCAUCUUGUAUCGUUUAAACAUUUAUUGAAACACUGUGUUGUGUGUGGGCGGUUUAUGGUUAUGCUAGAAGAGCCAUGUUUCUGCUUUCAAAUCAAAGGGAAGGAUGUAAGACUUGGAGCUGUGGCUGCAGGGAUGGCCCAUUUACAGGAUUUUGGACAAUGACAGUUUUUGUAAGAAGAUCCCAUGCUCCUGCUGGCUGGGUGGCAUUUUGGGGGGGGGGCAGAAGCUGGCUUUACUGAUAAGGUUGAGAAGUGACCAUUUGUUUCCUUCUCUCACACGAUUGUCUUAAGAAUAGAAGUCUAAUUCCAUCUGUUCGUCUUUCUGUUCUCUGGCCUUGAGUGUUCAUGAUGUGAGGCCAGUCAUAAUGAGUUUGGGGAGGUUCCACCAGGAAAGAGUGCAUUGUUCAUCAGCUUUGGGGUGGUGUGUGUGUAUAUGUGUGUAACUAUGUGUGUGUGAGAGUGUGUGUGUGUAUGUGUGUAUAGUCAGGACAGAAGUUGGUGUUGGAGUUUUCCUUGAUCACUUUCACUCCUUGAGUUAGCUAGACUGGCUGGCCAGUAAGCCCCAGGGAUCCUCCUGUCCCCUCUUUCCCAACACUGUAUAGGUUUACACCACCCACCAUGCUUGGUUUUUCUUUUUCUAAGUGUGGGCGCUGGGUAUCCAGUAAGCACUUUACUGAGCCUUCUCCCCAGCCCCCAUCUGAACCACCCUGGAGUGAGCGCUCCUCUUACACUUUUUCUUAUAGCACAGCUUGGCACUUGAUGGGGACAGGGUGAAGAUUUGGAGAUCAUGACUGACUGCGUGCGUGAGUCUAACAGACGGGAGUAUGCCUCUGAAGGAAAUGGCAAGGCAACGACAGGCCAGAAGCUCACACCCUCCUCUGAAUGUUCAUGCUAGACAGCAAUUGCAGGAUGCAGUGUUUUAGGUGCAGGAUACAUCUGGACCAAACAGAAAGGCUUGAGCAUUGAGAUGCCAUGAGAAUGGCCUGGGUGGAUAUCUUUCAGGAGUCCAGCUUCUCCUCCCACUCUGAGAGUCCUAGGGAUUAAAUCUCGGUUGUCAGGAUUGGUGGUAAGCACUUUUACCCUUUGGGCUACACCUCAGUGCCCCCCACCCCAAUUUUUAUAAAGUAUACUACUUUAAUAGAUGAGGGAAUGAAAAUAUUAAAUGGUAGAUAAUUUUCAUUAAAUCUUGAAGACUCCAUCAUAGAUCUCUGAGUAUGCCUGAACACCUAUUUCCCAUGUCUUUUUCUGUUCCUUCGAUGAGCCUGAGGACCAUUGGAACCAUUCAGAAAGUAAUGUCGACAUCAACCCUUUGAAGGCGGGAUAAUAGACAUUGAAAGUCUCACAGCAGUGCUAUGUACAGAGAGAUGCCAAGGCGUGGGGCUCGCUGCGUCUUUUCUCAGCUGGAGAGAACACAGGAUAACCUUCUAUAGAUCUACAUACACUUUGUUCCAGAUAACCAAGUUGUUGUUUUUAAAACAUUUAAUACAAUUAUACAGUUCACCACUACUGUAAACAACACGCAAAAAAAUAUAUAUGAUGGGACCUGUCCUCAGUGAGCCCAGCCGUCACUAUGAAAACACUGUUCCCAUGGUAAUGCACUUUCAGGUUUUUCCAGCCCCACAUUAUUGGAAAUGUUUUCACUGAAAACUUUCCCUGCUUCCAAUCAAUUGCCUUUAAGUUGCUCAGGCUCUAAAGUUAUGAGACCACGCCAUGCAAAAGCCCACAGUCCAGAAAGCCUCAGAGGGUGGUCUCCGUGUCAGUCAGCAAAUGUGACCUGUACCCGUGAAUAUUUAGUGUGUGGCAUGGAGCUGUAGAAGGUAUGACGUGGAGAAGCAGAGACCCACAUGUGAGCUCUAAGCAGGCAGGGCAUAAAGAAAAUUACAAGCCCGAGUCCAAGGGUUUGCUACAGGGGCUCAGGGCUCAGGGCACAGAGGACAGGGCGCAGGGCCUCUCUAUGGAUGGGAACUUUAGAAAACGAUCUCAGGACUCGGCUGAGGUUUAAACACGGUGACGGCAGGGGCAUGGCUAUCAUUGUCCCUCUAGGACUCUGCAGGAGCUUAGUGAGCAGUGUGGCCUUUUCAGAAGAGUCCCCAGACAGAGCCUGAGGUGGCUGGGCGUCAGCGUGGUGGGAAUGAAAGCGACCCUUCCAGUUCCUAUAACUGAGUUCUUCAUGUCGAUCCCUUCUUUGUGGACAAGAAGAACCACGGAGACCCAGCACUGCUUCAGUUAAGGAGGCGUCUUCCCUACAGCUCAAGGUGUUCCCGGAUUUGAACUGCGGUUGUGGUCAAAACACCUAGCAGCAGGAUGGCCUUGGGGCUGCAUGGAGCAUCCCCCAACACAGGAGGGAAAGUCCAGCCUAAUGUGACUGGGGUAGCACAGUGCAUCCUCACUGACAGCCUGGGCCAAGCCGUGGGUUUAGCCACUUUCCUUCCAUUCUUCUUAGACUUUUUAGUCACUUUACCUGAAUAGUCUGAUUUUUAUUCUCCAUGUAAUCAUCUAAGUAACAUCAUAAUAAAAAAUGACAGAACUGUGUGAUUAAAUAAAACCGCUAAUUAAAAUCCUUCA